ACGUAGGGUGCAAGCGUUAAUCGGAUUUACUGGGCGUAAAGCGUGCGCAGGCGGUUAGGUAAGACAGAUGUGAAAUUUCCGGGCUUAACCUGGGAACUGCCUUUGUGACUGCCUGACUUGAAUGUGGUAGAGGGGAGUGGAAUAUGUCGUGUAGCAGUGAAAUGCGUAGAUAUGCGGAGGAACACCGAUGGCGAAGGCAACUCCCUGUGCCUGCACUGACGCUGAUGCACGAAAGCGUGGGGAGCAAACAG
Molecule: ribosomal RNA, 251 nt
Filed under: uncultured prokaryote
Description: partial 16S rRNA
Rfam family: Bacterial small subunit ribosomal RNA
Source: RNAcentral